Pundamilia nyererei is the source of this 457-nucleotide long non-coding RNA. RefSeq lists it as uncharacterized. The transcript has 2 exons. Lineage: Eukaryota; Metazoa; Chordata; Actinopteri; Cichliformes; Cichlidae. The record is from RefSeq and is a predicted model, not a curated record.
UCCAACUUCUUCUGCAACGCACAACAACACCACCAUGUCUGCCAAGAUCUCCACCAGCCUGACCAACGGGAGCGCUAGGGUCCUCUCUGCAACCUCAACGCCAAUCACACCGUUUCACACGCCAGCCAGUCCACCUGGCAGACAGAAUAAGGACGGACGUCUCCACCCUCUCAUGACCACAUCCAAGAAUCCCACCAUGACAGUGGCUAAAACGUUAACUUUGAGGCUUCGAAAAGAAAACCUGUGAUGCCUCUUUUAUGCACAGUCUCUGGGUUACAUAAGGAGGAGGCCACCUACUGGCUGUAUUCAUAAGACUGACAGCAGUCAUUCAACAGGCUGAUAACAUUAGGACCAAAUCAUUUUUAGCUUCGUCUGAAAAAGACGCAGUAAUUUAAUCUCAGAAGACGAGCCUGACGCAGAGGACGGAUGUAAAUAAAACAGCUUGAGCUCAAAGUUU